AAGCAAGUGAAGUCCAUGGCGACGGAGGAACUCCUUAGUGAACAAACCAAAGUCAUUGGCUCCUUUUGCUUCAGAAAUAGCUGUAACUUUCUCUGGCUCUGCUUCAAUUUCGACUUGCAACACCUUGGACAUGUCGUUAGCUGCCUGUUUCAAGUUCUUGGCGACCAAGGCAGUGUAACGGGCAGUUUCAGGCAUCUUCAUACGCCAGUAAUAAGUAAGUCCAGCAGGGAUUGCACCAAACAUGAGAAUUAUACGCCACACGAAAUCAGCCUGAGGGACUGUUGAACCAAUAGCAUCAACCUCAUAUGCUGGUGCAGGGAAUGCGCCCUUGAAUGCUGCAGAAACAAUGAUUGCCACCAUUCCACCAGCCAGAAUUCCGAAACCUUGCAUAGCAAACACAGCAGCAAUGAACGCUCCACGGGUCUUUUUGUUAGCAUACUCAGACAUGAUGGUGGCAGAAAGGGGAUAAUCACCACCAAUGCCAAAUCCUAGCCAGAAUCUGAAGAAACAAAGCGUAGUCAUAACACCUUUUGGUGUAUGGCCAAAUGAAAGCCCCGAGGCAAUUGAACAAAUGACCAUAAUCAUAAGGGUCAUUCCAUAGACUUUCUUCCUUCCCAUUUUAUCUCCAAGCCACCCGAAGAACAACUGUCCAGCAAGGGUGCCACAGAAGGCGACUCCAUUAACAGCUGCUGAAACAUUAGGGGGCAGAGAGCCAGGUUUCAAUGCACCGUCAUGAUGGUAGUAAAGACGACCAAGCAAUUUAGUGACCAUAGAAAUGCAGAAAAGGUCAUAAGCAUCAGUAAAAAAACCCAUGCCAGCAAUCACA
This 826-nucleotide unclassified non-coding RNA is filed under the name Hevea brasiliensis (rubber tree). Lineage: Eukaryota; Viridiplantae; Streptophyta; Magnoliopsida; Malpighiales; Euphorbiaceae. The record is from RNAcentral.